RNAcentral lists this ribosomal RNA (423 nucleotides) under uncultured prokaryote. RNAcentral describes it as "bacterial SSU rRNA". It matches the Rfam family "Bacterial small subunit ribosomal RNA", at positions 355 to 774 of the family's 1533-position model. The record is from RNAcentral.
UAGGGAAUAUUGGUCAAUGGGCGCAAGCCUGAACCAGCCAUCCCGCGUGCAGGAAGACGGCCCUAUGGGUUGUAAACUGCUUUUCCAGGGAGAGAAACUUGCGUACGCGUUGCGCAAUUGACGGUACCCUGGGAAUAAGCAUCGGCUAACUCCGUGCCAGCAGCCGCGGUAAUACGGAGGAUGCGAGCGUUAUCCGGAUUCAUUGGGUUUAAAGGGUGCGUAGGCGGACUAUUAAGUCAGUGGUGAAAUCCUGCAGCUUAACUGCAGAACUGCCAUUGAUACUGAUAGCCUUGAGUUUGGUUAAGGUAGGCGGAAUGUGUAAUGUAGCGGUGAAAUGCUUAGAUAUGACACAGAACACCAAUUGCGUAGGCAGCUUACUGAGCCGACACUGACGCUGAUGCACGAAAGCGUGGGGAUCAAACA